UACAACUAUGCUGAAUUCAGCACUUACCCCACCCAUGGCCAGUGCUGGCCCAAAAGGCUGUCACAGAUGUGACUCAUGGGCUCUGGGGCUCUCCUGGAUUCGGCGAUAACUCUGGUCACAGACACCA
Molecule: small nucleolar RNA, 127 nt
Organism: Sorex fumeus (smoky shrew)
Lineage: Eukaryota; Metazoa; Chordata; Mammalia; Eulipotyphla; Soricidae
Product: small nucleolar RNA SNORA5
Exons: 1
Source: RefSeq, a predicted model, not a curated record